This 276-nucleotide long non-coding RNA is filed under the name Homo sapiens (human). RNAcentral describes it as "HSALNT0274772". Lineage: Eukaryota; Metazoa; Chordata; Mammalia; Primates; Hominidae. The record is from RNAcentral.
CUUAGAUAAAGGAAUUAAUCUUUGUAGUGACGGUGACCCAGGCAUCGCUGGAGAAUCAGAGCCCAGUGUUGGCCACAGUCACAGCUACUGGGUGCAGAAGGGACCCCCACGGGCCAGGCACCCCCACCCCAGGGGUCUCUUCUGGCUCCAUUUUGCAGGUGGCUUUGUGGGAAGCUUCCCUCAGAGCUGGGAGAAAUGGGUCAAAGCAAACCCUUGUCUGACAGAGGCUGGCCCUUUGGGGAGCAGCUGACACCAAGACUUCUCCACUUGGGCAGG